RNAcentral lists this ribosomal RNA (537 nucleotides) under Rana amurensis. Its description in RNAcentral is "partial 16S ribosomal RNA". It matches the Rfam family "Bacterial large subunit ribosomal RNA", at positions 1823 to 2587 of the family's 2925-position model. The record is from RNAcentral. Lineage: Eukaryota; Metazoa; Chordata; Amphibia; Anura; Ranidae.
UCUUGACAAACAUAAGAGGUCCAGCCUGCCCAGUGACAAAGUUCAACGGCCGCGGUACCCUAACCGUGCGAAGGUAGCAUAAUCACUUGUUCUCUAAAUAAGGACUUGUAUCAACGGCACUACGAGGGUUAUACUGUCUCCUUUUUCCAAUCAGUGAAACUGAUCUCCCCGUGAAGAAGCGGGGAUCAAAAUAUAAGACGAGAAGACCCCAUGGAGCUUUAAACUCACUGUACACCUCUAUGUUCCUAUAUCCUUAUAACACAAGAAACCUGUACAUUAGUUUUAGGUUGGGGGGACCACGGAGUACAACUUAACCUCCAUAACAAAUGGGCUAACACCCUUAUCCACGAGACACAACUCUAAGAAUUAAUAGACUAAUGCUUAUGACCCGAUAUUCGAUCAAUGAACCAAGUUACCCUGGGGAUAACAGCGCAAUCUACUUCAAGAGCUCAUAUCGACAAGUAGGUUUACGACCUCGAUGUUGGAUCAGGGUAUCCCGGUGGUGCAACCGCUACCAAUGGUUCGUUUGUUCAACGA